Molecule: long non-coding RNA, 486 nt
Filed under: Dromaius novaehollandiae (emu)
Lineage: Eukaryota; Metazoa; Chordata; Aves; Casuariiformes; Dromaiidae
Description: lncRNA (ENSDNVG00000012402.1)
Source: RNAcentral
AUCACUUUCACCAAACUGCUUUGCCUCACCUAUGAAUCAGAUCUCUGAGGAGUAUGGAUAAGAGCCUGUACAUUUUGCAGAUAUGCCAUAUCCAACUUUUGGACUACUUCUACUCUCAUGUGCUGGGCAGACUUUCUAAAUGACUGUUUUGAUGGAUGGAUAUUCCAAAGCUUCCGAGUUUGGGAAGAGGCCCCUUUUCCUCCUCCGAUGUAUCUAGACCAGAUGUAGCACAGGGACCUCGUGGCGCAAAAGGAGCUCUCUCCGGCUGACGCAAAGCUGCUGCGGGUUUCCAUUGCUGGCAAGCUCUGCUACAACAGAGGGAGUUCAGUCACUUACAGCACCCAGCAGGUACAUCAUCAAAAUCAGUGUAUUGAAAUUGAAUGCUACAGAGAAGGUUGCCAGAAUGAUCAGAAGUAUGAUCUAGCAGCCACAAGAGGAAAGACUGAAUCCACUAGAACUGCUACAUCCCUGCCUGGAAAAGACUGA